Molecule: long non-coding RNA, 2344 nt
Organism: Phragmites australis (common reed)
Lineage: Eukaryota; Viridiplantae; Streptophyta; Magnoliopsida; Poales; Poaceae
Exons: 3
Source: RefSeq, a predicted model, not a curated record
ACUAAGGACCGGCCCGGCGCUAGUCUCCACUCUCCGUGUCUCCCUUCCUUCCCGCCCUCCUCGCCUCCCGCGCUACUGCGCUAGGGACUAGGGUUCCAUGGACCCCUCGCCGCCUCGUCCGACGGGGGCACCUUCCUCGAUUUCGUCGACCACGCCAUCUCCGUCCUCUUCUCCUCCGGCGCCGACGGCAACGGCUACGAGUCACCGGGGGACGGGCCGGCGCCGGCGCCGGCGCGGCCGCCCUGGAGGUGGGCGGUGGCGCAGGUGCUCAAGUCGUGCUGCGCUUACUCCAGCGGCGUCACGGCCGCCAUCCUCCUCUCCGACCCAUUCCAGGCUAGUUUUGUGCUUUCCUGCAAUUGAAAGAUGCAAUAGGGAUUAAAGUUUGGCUUCUCUUGGUAGUCUUGGAGAGAACAGCGUAAAUCCCUGACCUCGAAGAGGAACGUCGAGCUGAUCAACCUUAUAAAGACGAGGAAUAAGAGGAGGAGGCUUCCUAAUACUGUUACACUCGAUUCUACCUGUGAGAAGAACUUCCUUUCUCCCAAGAGUCUCCUUGAAGCUGUCAUCAUCGACGUGUUCGUCCUUCCUGGUACAAACAUAUACAUGCUUACCUUGGGAGACACGUGGAGUGCAUCCACUAUCGACUUAUAUUUACACCGAAGGUGGAUCUGACUACAUAUUGCUUAGUUAAUGUUCAUAUUUGUUUGACUGAUAUUAGAAGUCAGUAAAGAACGUGUCGGCAAAUUUGGAUUGAUAAAUAUGUAGGCAAGGAAGAUGGCAAUGCUAACUAUGCUAUUAUGAAUCUCUGUUGAACUUUGAGCACUUUGCGAAUUGUCCAUUGCUCUCGAAUGAGUAUAGAUGUAACUUUUCUAGUUGUAGGAUACUACAGAUCUUUGUGAUUUACGAAAGUUUGAUCGUUGAUUCUUCAUUCCAAAUAAUGGUUGGUUGUUAUUUUCCCCCUAAAUGCUGAACCAGUAAUGUCCGUAAUGUAUAUUUUGGAAUAUGAUUCUUGGAUAGGUUAUUGUGUUUAUUUCCUUUUUUAUGACACUCUUGAUACUUGGAAUACUUAUACAUGUUCCUGUACUGACAUAAAUUUUGUAUCAGGUACGACUACAUAGGACAACAUGGUAUAUUGAAGAAAGGUCGAGAAGUUAUCCUCACAGGAUGUUGUCUUCGUACAUCCAUAGAGGGAUCUGGCCAUGCUCGUAUUUUGCCAACAGAAUACAUGGUGAUAUUACUCGAUGAGGUAUCCCUUCAAUGCAUUUAAGUGUAUAAGGCAGCACUGCUCCGAUUGCAUUAUUUACUUGCAAUUUGUUACUUCUUAGGUAAAGUUCAUUUGUCUUAAUUGCAUUUUCAACCCCGGCAAGGCCACAAUGACUCUAUACCAUGAUAAUUGGCUGAACCUAAAGAAAUUAUAUAAAUGUCAAACCACUUCCUUUAUGCCUAGUCAUAAGAACAACUGUAAAUUGUAAAAUUCUUGGUUCUUAAAAGAAUUCAAGCUUGCAAUAUUGUACUUGAGCCUAGACAAAUAACUUCAGCUUUAGCUGUUAGAAAUUAAAUUUGGCAUCUCUUUUGUUCAGUAAACUUGUAAACUUUGUUUUAGCUCACGCACAUUAAUAUUUAUGUGCAUCAAUGGUGUCACUUAGAAUUGGGACAGUACUCUUCCAAGUCUGCUUAUGUUGCUUAUUUCCAAGGUGCUACUCAUUUUGAACCUUGGAAACACAUAUGGAAAUCAUGGGCUCCGGCACGCUGCAAAUUUUUCUUGUGGCUUGUGGCGCAUGAUAGAUGUUGGACAUCAGACCGUUUGGCGCGGAGGGGACUUCCACACCCGGCGAGCUGUCCACUUUGUGAUCAAGAGGUUGAAACAAUUCAACAUCUCCUAACGGAUUGUGUUUUUGGUAGACAGGUGUGGUUCUCCUUGUUUAGGCGGUUUGGAGUGCUUGAUGUUUCCCCGCAGGCAAGUGACAGCAGAUUCUGUAAUUGCUGGAAGCAAGCAAGCGAUAGGAUUUGGAAGCCAAUGCGAAAACAAUUCCCUGGUAAUUUUGGGCACUUGGCUGAUUUGGAAGCAUCGCAACGAUUGCGAGUUUAAUGGUGCGGCUCCAAGUGUGCAUGCCGUCCUCCAGAAGGCUGGUGAGGAGGCCAUAAUGUGGGCUGAUGUUGGAGCUAAGGGCUUAGCGCUGAUGCAAAUCGCUUUGUAGUUUAUGAUAGUUCCUUAAGGGUCGUUUUACUUUUCUUGUCAAAGGUGCACUGCUUUAUGUCAUUCCGAGUGUGUUUUUGUGGGGGUGUGUGGUUUGUUAGACUGUUUUUGGUUUUUUUUCCUCUCUCUUAAUGCAAUGAUGUGCAGUCC